Molecule: non-coding RNA, 71 nt
Organism: Parelaphostrongylus tenuis
Lineage: Eukaryota; Metazoa; Nematoda; Chromadorea; Rhabditida; Metastrongylidae
Source: the annotation of a GenBank genome assembly
GCCUUGAUGUUGUAGUGGUAGGACGUGCGCCUUGUAUGUGUGAUACGCGGGUUCAACUCCUGUUUAGGGUC